Molecule: ribosomal RNA, 497 nt
Filed under: uncultured bacterium
Lineage: Bacteria
Description: partial 16S ribosomal RNA
Rfam family: Bacterial small subunit ribosomal RNA
Source: RNAcentral
GAUGAACGCUGGCGGCGUGCCUAAUGCAUGCAAGUCGAGCGAACAGACGAGGAGCUUGCUCCUCUGACGUUAGCGGCGGACGGGUGAGUAACACGUGGAUAACCUACCUAUAAGACUGGGAUAACUUCGGGAAACCGGAGCUAAUACCGGAUAAUAUAUUGAACCGCAUGGUUCAAUAGUGAAAGACGGUUUUGCUGCCACUUAUAGAUGGAUCCGCGCCGCAUUAGCUAGUUGGUAAGGUAACGGCUUACCAAGGCAACGAUGCGUAGCCGACCUGAGAGGGUGAUCGGCCACACUGGAACUGAGACACGGUCCAGACUCCUACGGGAGGCAGCAGUAGGGAAUCUUCCGCAAUGGGCGAAAGCCUGACGGAGCAACGCCGCGUGAGUGAUGAAGGUCCUCGGAUCGUAAAACUCUGUUAUUAGGGAAGAACAAAUGUGUAAGUAACUAUGCACGUCUUGACGGUACCUAAUCAGAAAGCCACGGCUAACUACGUG